RNAcentral lists this ribosomal RNA (1540 nucleotides) under Streptococcus thermophilus. RNAcentral describes it as "bacterial SSU rRNA". It matches the Rfam family "Bacterial small subunit ribosomal RNA". Lineage: Bacteria; Bacillati; Bacillota; Bacilli; Lactobacillales; Streptococcaceae. The record is from RNAcentral.
AGAGUUUGAUCCUGGCUCAGGACGAACGCUGGCGGCGUGCCUAAUACAUGCAAGUAGAACGCUGAAGAGAGGAGCUUGCUCUUCUUGGAUGAGUUGCGAACGGGUGAGUAACGCGUAGGUAACCUGCCUUGUAGCGGGGGAUAACUAUUGGAAACGAUAGCUAAUACCGCAUAACAAUGGAUGACACAUGUCAUUUAUUUGAAAGGGGCAAUUGCUCCACUACAAGAUGGACCUGCGUUGUAUUAGCUAGUAGGUGAGGUAAUGGCUCACCUAGGCGACGAUACAUAGCCGACCUGAGAGGGUGAUCGGCCACACUGGGACUGAGACACGGCCCAGACUCCUACGGGAGGCAGCAGUAGGGAAUCUUCGGCAAUGGGGGCAACCCUGACCGAGCAACGCCGCGUGAGUGAAGAAGGUUUUCGGAUCGUAAAGCUCUGUUGUAAGUCAAGAACGGGUGUGAGAGUGGAAAGUUCACACUGUGACGGUAGCUUACCAGAAAGGGACGGCUAACUACGUGCCAGCAGCCGCGGUAAUACGUAGGUCCCGAGCGUUGUCCGGAUUUAUUGGGCGUAAAGCGAGCGCAGGCGGUUUGAUAAGUCUGAAGUUAAAGGCUGUGGCUCAACCAUAGUUCGCUUUGGAAACUGUCAAACUUGAGCGCAGAAGGGGAGAGUGGAAUUCCAUGUGUAGCGGUGAAAUGCGUAGAUAUAUGGAGGAACACCGGUGGCGAAAGCGGCUCUCUGGUCUGUAACUGACGCUGAGGCUCGAAAGCGUGGGGAGCGAACAGGAUUAGAUACCCUGGUAGUCCACGCCGUAAACGAUGAGUGCUAGGUGUUGGAUCCUUUCCGGGAUUCAGUGCCGCAGCUAACGCAUUAAGCACUCCGCCUGGGGAGUACGACCGCAAGGUUGAAACUCAAAGGAAUUGACGGGGGCCCGCACAAGCGGUGGAGCAUGUGGUUUAAUUCGAAGCAACGCGAAGAACCUUACCAGGUCUUGACAUCCCGAUGCUAUUUCUAGAGAUAGAAAGUUACUUCGGUACAUCGGUGACAGGUGGUGCAUGGUUGUCGUCAGCUCGUGUCGUGAGAUGUUGGGUUAAGUCCCGCAACGAGCGCAACCCCUAUUGUUAGUUGCCAUCAUUCAGUUGGGCACUCUAGCGAGACUGCCGGUAAUAAACCGGAGGAAGGUGGGGAUGACGUCAAAUCAUCAUGCCCCUUAUGACCUGGGCUACACACGUGCUACAAUGGUUGGUACAACGAGUUGCGAGUCGGUGACGGCGAGCUAAUCUCUUAAAGCCAAUCUCAGUUCGGAUUGUAGGCUGCAACUCGCCUACAGGAAGUCGGAAUCGCUAGUAAUCGCGGAUCAGCACGCCGCGGUGAAUACGUUCCCGGGCCUUGUACACACCGCCCGUCACACCACGAGAGUUUGUAACACCCGAAGUCGGUGAGGUAACCUUUUGGAGCCAGCCGCCUAAGGUGGGACAGAUGAUUGGGGUGAAGUCGUAACAAGGUAGCCGUAUCGGAAGGUGCGGCUGGAUCACCUCCUU